RNAcentral lists this transfer RNA (75 nucleotides) under Dermacentor silvarum. RNAcentral describes it as "transfer RNA tryptophan (anticodon CCA)". It matches the Rfam family "tRNA". Rfam says of the family: Transfer RNA (tRNA) molecules are approximately 80 nucleotides in length. Their secondary structure includes four short double-helical elements and three loops (D, anti-codon, and T loops). Lineage: Eukaryota; Metazoa; Arthropoda; Arachnida; Ixodida; Ixodidae. The record is from RNAcentral.
AAAUCGGUGGCGCAACGGUAGCGCGUCUGACUCCAGAUCAGAAGGUUGCGUGUUCGAAUCACGUCCUGGUCAACA